AUUCCAGCUCCAAUAGCGUAUAUUAAUGUUGUUGCAGUUAAAAAGCUCGUAGUUGGAUUUCUGGUCGGGACGUCUGGCCGGCUCCGCAAGGGGUCGUUGCAUUGACUGUACUCGUCCAUCCUCAGGUUGACUAGCUCUGGUAUUUAUUUAUCGGUGUUAGAACGCCUGUCGUUUACUGUGAACAAAUUAGAGUGUUCAAAGCAAGGUGUACUUGAAUACAUUAGCAUGGAAUAAUAAGAUAGGACUUUGGUGGUUCUUUUUGAUAUUUUGUUGGUUUGCACGCCAAAGUAAUGAUUAAUAGGAGCAGUUGGGGGUAUUCGUAUUCAAUUGUCAGAGGUGAAAUUCUUGGAUUUAUAGAAGACGAACUACUGCGAAAGCAUUUACCAAGGAUGUUUUCAUUG
RNAcentral lists this ribosomal RNA (401 nucleotides) under Pedinellales sp. RNAcentral describes it as "partial small subunit ribosomal RNA". It matches the Rfam family "Eukaryotic small subunit ribosomal RNA", at positions 582 to 975 of the family's 1831-position model. Lineage: Eukaryota; Dictyochophyceae; Pedinellales. The record is from RNAcentral.